UGGCUUGAGAAGAAUUUUUAUUCAUUUUUGUUUAUAGAAGUUAUCUUUUCUUCCUGGGCAUUUUAGACAGCCAUUCCUAAUUUAGCCUUCAAUGAGUCAAAUAAAAUGAGAAUGACAAAGAAUCUGUCAAUUAAAUAAACAUGAAAAUGUAAACAUUCAAAUGCAAAUAAAAACAUUUCAACAAUCUAACAAUAAUUACAUUUCAAAAAAAUCUACCAGUUUAUCAAAAAUAAGCUCACAUUGGUCUAUGGUAUGAAUAUAAUCGUAAUAGUUUUUGGGUUUAAACUAUAUGUGUGAAUCCCCCUAGUUUUCUCCCUGACACUGAGACUGCCUAUUUUGGAAUCCUUCUAAUACCCUUUACAGUCAGUGGCAUUCACAAAUCAAUUUCACUAUCCUUUUUUUUUGCCUUUUAGGGCUGCACCCGAGGCAUAUGGAGCGGCCCAAAAAAUGGCAAAAAGAAAAAAAAAAAAAAAAAAGUACUGAGUACCUCAAGGUAGUCCUUGGGUGGAUUAGCACUGGCAUCAUGUGGACGCUGGUCAGAAAAGCAAAAUCUCAGACCCACUCUAGCCCUACUAAGUAUGCAUUUUAACAGGAUCCCCCACGUGAUUCAGGUGCAUGUUAAAGUUUGAGAAAAACUACUUUCUUCUUGUAGACAGAUGUACACAUAUAAAAUUAUUUUAUUUAUAGGGUCAACUGAGGCAAAACAUGUUGGUUUCCUUAACUGCCACAUCAAGACUUUCAUGUCAUUUUAUAUCAAAUUGAAUAGGCAACAUGGAUUAACUAAGGUUUCCAAAUUGUAAUUAAUCUAUGGGCAAAUGGUAAAGACAACCCAGAAAGUUUAAGCAAUUUAGUAAAAAAUUUCUUAGGUAUAUUCAUCCUCACACUAGAAUAUGCCAGCGUAUACAAGUCCAGUUCUUCAUAUACAAACCUGAAAACCUCAAAGUUUAAGCUUGAUGGCAAAACAUGACUUGACUUGAUAUUAAGCUAUUAAUGUAGCUUAUUAACCCAGUGACUGUGAUCAUUCCUGUUCUGCAGAAACGUUAAUGUAUAAAUCUGGGGCCUGACACAAACCUCACUCGAGGUAUUAUGAAGUAUACAGUAUGAAAACCUAAGGGUUUCACGUAAGGGCCCUUUCAAGGUAAAUAGAGUGAAAGAGCAAAAGAGACCAAAGCAAGGAAAAUUAAAGCUGCUUGAGUAAACUUUCAUGCUAAUGCUGGCUAAAUAAAAACCACCUAAUAUGAUGCCUUAAGAAGCAAUACCAGAGUUCUCUUGUAGUGCAGCAGGUUAAGGAUCUGGUGUUGUCACUGCAGUGGCUUGGGUAGCAGCUGUGGCUUGGGUUCAAUCCAUGGCCCAGGAAUUUCCACGUGCAACAGGCAUUCCAGUAAAGGGAAAAAAAAGCAGUAGCAGCAAUAAUAUGACAAUAUGGAGUAGCGCAAUAAACUGCUCAAAUGAAGUUACACUGGGGGUCAAUCAGAAAAGACAAUGAAUUUGUAAAUGGCAAAGAGCAUAUUUCUGAAAUUUUCCCUUGAGAAACAAUUUAAAAUAUUAUAACACUGAAAGGGGUAUCUCCAUAGAUGUUUAGAUAAUCCAAAAUAAGGGAAGUGGCCUCUUUUUUUUUUUUUUUUUUUGUUCCUUUUAGGACCAUACUCCGAGGCAUACAGAGAUUCCCAGGCUAAAGAUCAAAUUAGAGCUGUAGCUGCUGGCCUACACCACAGCUCAUGGCAACGUUGGAUCCUCAACCCACUGUGCUAGGCCAGGGAUCGAACCUGUGUCCCCAUGGUUACUAAUCAGAUUCAUUUCAGCUGAGCCACGACAGGAACUCCAAAACAGCCUCUUACUUUCAGCUUCUAAUACUCAAAAAUCAAGUCCAUCAAAAAUUCUCCUGUAUUUUCAACUUAAGUUUCUAGUAUGCAGUACACAAUUACAACAUGAUGCCAUUUAUUUAACAAGACUCUGGAAGAAUGAGUCUCCGAGAUCAAAUAUAUACAUUUUUAAUAUCUGAAAUAUUUACAUAAUGGAACCAUGUCAUGGUCCAAUGUUAAGAACAGUGUUUUCAAUUGUCCUCUUAAGAUGUAAAAAAAAAAUCUAGUAACUCAAACUCAGUUAUGCUUUUUUUUUUAACACCGCUCCCCCAAUCUUUAUCUUUUUUUAAAAAAUAAAUAUUCAGGACACAGGAAUAGCUGCACCUAAUUUCUGUUAAGAACUGUUUAAAACUUGUUACAUUUUCAGGUAAUUUUGCUCCCUUGUGAAGUUCUGAUCUACAAUAAAGAAAUCCCCAUCAAUAUCUUUAAAGUUUUGAUGAGCAGAGGUAAACGAGGUGUGUGUCUGCAUAUACACACACAAGAUAUAAACCCUUUACAGAACAAAUAGUGGUAACUGCCUUAAACAAUUUAUUCUUAGAAUUAAGAAUGUAAAGUCUAUAAAUUGCCAUGCUGAAUUUCUAUUGUACUUUUUGUCAAAUGUUCCUAGCUUGUAAAAAUGCCUACUUUUAUCUUUUGCUGAUUUUUUUAAAGGAUUUUUUUCACUUAUAGUUUUGAUUUUUUUUUAAACAAAAGGGUACAUAAAAAUUAAAUCAAGGACCAAUUAGUGCAAAAAUGCAUUAAAUAAAGCUCUCCAGAAUCUAAGGAUCUGCCUCAUUCUGAACAAUGAAAUGGGGGGGAAAUAUCACUAUGAUUCACACUCACUUAAAAGAGAGGCCGACACAGCCAUUGACAGAAAAAAAAGCAAACCAUUCUGUUCAACAGACUGCUGGC
RNAcentral lists this long non-coding RNA (2753 nucleotides) under Sus scrofa (pig). Its description in RNAcentral is "lncRNA (ENSSSCG00005011214.1)". The record is from RNAcentral. Lineage: Eukaryota; Metazoa; Chordata; Mammalia; Artiodactyla; Suidae.